AUAGCAUCAGGUCUCACCAGUUGUAAGAAACAUUUCUCAAUGUUUUUUUUUUUCCCCACAGGAAGAUUUGGAACUACCAGAAGCUCCCAAGGAGCCCCUCCCAGAAACCUCUCCAGAGAAAGAAGCCGUCAAGACCAAACCCAAAGCACGACUGGUGUCCGCCUCCUAACCUCGUCUGGGCUAUCAGGAGUCUCUGUUCUGUUUCCUUCCUUCUCCUCCCGGAGGCAGCGCUGAGCCUUGUAGUGCUCUGGGGAGGGGAUCGGGUGUGGUUGGCUGCAUCGCCCUCUGGUGGGUGGGGGGGGGGGGGUGACGUCUCCUUCCCAGAAGCUGCAGCAGGAUGCCCGGAGAAGUCGCUCAUUGACUCCAUAUUGAAUUGCGUUUUCCGUUUUGCCAUCGCCCGUUUUUGUUUCUGAUGGGCGGACCCCCUCCCUCGGCGGUCUCUCUCCCCCAUUAUUUAGCUGUCCUUUCCUUGUAUCAUGAAUUUAUCUUCUAGUGCGGGUCCUAUCAGUGGAGCGAUUACGGGCGCCAACGCUUCGAGCCCCGCCCACUGCAGUGUAUUAUCCCGUCUUCUUCAUCAUGUUGCUGAUAAGCAGCUGCCAGAGCCGAUUCUCCUUCCGGACGGAUUUUCUUGUAGGGAUCGGCUGUUCUGCAUGAUGGCGCCAUUUUGUCUUUUAAUAUAUAUGAAAUUUCAUAUGAUGGAGAUUUGGAAUAAAAGCACUAAAAGUGCAGGAUCCUGA
This is a long non-coding RNA of Hyla sarda, 737 nucleotides long. RefSeq lists it as uncharacterized. The record is from RefSeq and is a predicted model, not a curated record. The transcript is spliced from 2 exons. Lineage: Eukaryota; Metazoa; Chordata; Amphibia; Anura; Hylidae.